Molecule: long non-coding RNA, 5124 nt
Filed under: Sus scrofa (pig)
Lineage: Eukaryota; Metazoa; Chordata; Mammalia; Artiodactyla; Suidae
Description: lncRNA (ENSSSCG00040031604.1)
Source: RNAcentral
UUUCCACUGCACCACAGUGGGAACUACUGAUAAUGGCCAUUCUGACUGGUGCAAGGUGAUACCUCAUUGUAGUUUUGAGUUGCAUUGCUCCAAUAAUUAGUGAUGUUGAACAUCUUUUCAUGUGAUUUUUGGCCACCUGUCUUCUUUGGAGAAAUGUAUAUUUAGAUUUUCUGCCUAUUUUUUGAUUUUUUUUUAAAUAUAAAUCUCCAUGAGAUGUUCGAAUAUUUGGGAAUUAAUCCCUGGUCAGUCAUUUGAUUUGCAAAGAUCUUUUCCCAUUCCGUGGGUUGUCCUUUCAUUUUUUUAAUGGUUUCCUUUGCUGUGCAAAAUCUUUUAAGUUUAAUUAGGUCACACUGGUUUAUUUCUGUUUUUAUUUUCAUUAUUCUAGGCGGUGGAUCAAAGAAGGUGGAUCAAAGAUUGCUGUGAUUUAUGUUAAAUGGUGUUCUGCCUAGGUUUUCCUCUAGAAGUUUUAUAGUACCUGGCCUUAUGCUUAGGUCCUUGGUCCAUUUUGAGUUUAUUUUUCUGUAUGGUGUUAGAGAGUGUUCUAAUUUCAUUUUUUACAUGUAUCUGUCCAGUUUUCCCAGCAUCACUUAUUGAAGAAACUGUCCUCCCUCCACUGUAUGUUCUUGCCUGCUUUUUCAUAGAUUAGUUAAUCAUAGGUGCUUGGGUUUAUUUCUGGGCUUUGUCUCCUAUUCCAGUGAUCUAUAUUGCUGUUUUUGAGCCAGUACCAUACUGCUUUAAUAACUGUAGUUUUGUAGUAGAGACUUAAGUCAGGGAGCCUGAUUCCUCCACUUCCACUUUUCUGUUUCAGUAUUGCUUUGACUGUUCAGGGUCUUUUGUGUUUCCACACAAAUUUUAAAAUAUUUUGGGAGUUCCCAUCAUGGCUCAGUGGUUAAAGAAGCCUCCAUGAAAGUGUGGGCUCGAUCCCCACUCCUGCUCAAUGGGUUAAGGAUCUGGCAUUGCUAUGAGCUGUGGUAUAGGUCACAGACUUGGUUUGGAUCUCCCACUGCUGUGGCUGUGGUAUAGGUUGGCAGCUAUAGCUCUGAUUCAAUCCCUAGCCUGAGACCCUCCAUAUGCCACUGAUGUGGCCCUGAAAAGACAAAAGACAAAAAUUUUUUAAUAUUUUGUUCUGUAUCUGUGAAGAAUGUUGUUGGCAACUUGACAGCGAUUGCACUGCAUCUUUAGAUUGACUUGGGUAGUAUAGUCAUUUUGAUAAUAUGGAUUCUUCCAAAACAAAAGCAUGGUAUAUCUUGCCAUCAACUUGUGUCACUGAUUUCUUUCAUCAGCAUAUUAUAGUUUUCAGAAUCUUUUGUCUAUUUGGGUAGGUUUAUUCCUAGGUAUUUUGUUCUGAAACAAAUACAACAUUGUAAGUCAACUAUACUCCAAUAGAAUUUUUUUUAAAAAAAUAUCUUGUUUUUAAGACACUGGAAUUUGAAGGUAUUUUCACAACUGAUUCUAGAAACUAGGGGGAAAACAGAUUAAUUUAUUUCCCUUAAGUUAUCAUAUGUACAUAAUUGUUUUGCUGCAAAUUAGUUGGAAUUUGUAUGCCUUAAACAUUCAGCAUGAAGAAUUUAUGCUUUAUUUUGACUAGUGCAUUUAAGAAAACCCUUGUAGCUUCAUAUAUUUAGUCUAACCAUUUCAGCUUGUUUGUUUUUCUUCUUUUACAUACUACAUUUAGCUCUGUGAUAAAGACAAAAUUGCCACACAAUCCUCAUGACAUGUAUAUUCCUACUACUCUCCUCCCCCUCUAUAGCUGCAGAGAGUAAGAAAACAUCUGGUAGGAAGAUGGGACAUUAGAAAGAGCAGGGUCACCUGGGCGGUACUCCUGGGACUGGCUUUUCCUACAAAGCUUCGCCCCCAAGGCCUUGCUGGGCCAGGCCCCAGUGCUGAUUCAGUCUCUGAUUCUCCGGAUGACUAAGGCAGAGCCUUAUUAAUUAAUUGGGAAUCACAUCUAGCAGAGGAAGCAGGUUAGGAAACAGAGGUUGACUACAGAAGGACACAAGGCUGAUGGAGCUAUGAAGGAGCCCAACAGGAAGUAAGAAUAGAGAGCUCCAGACUAAGGGCAUGGUACGUGCAUGAUAGUACAUGGGAAGUGGUCAGAAGUGUGUGUGUGUGUGUGUGUGUGUGUGUGUGUGUGUUUACAGCAUGGAUUGUGGAAGAGAGAGGACAGAUAGGUCAAGGCUACAUGGAUGCCCUGACCAGGCUGGAUAGAGAGAGAGGCUGGACCCGAGUUACAUAGAACCACAUAUGUCAGGCACAGGGGAGCCACUGAAGUUUCUAUCUGGAGAAGGACUUGACAGCACUUAGAAAGAUCACAUAGGUUACCAUAAGGAGGGUGGAUGUGAGUGAAGUUUGAUGACUAGGCCUUGGUGGUGGAGAUGGGGAGGUAGAGAAGUACUGGGGAGACAUGUAUGGAGUAGAGUGGACAGUCCUUAUUGAGGGACUGAAUGAAUAGGGAGGGGAAGAACCAAAGCCAUGUCCAGAUUCCUGGUUCUGCCAUCCAGAGGAGAGUGAGGCCAUUCACUGAGCAGGGAGGCUUGAAGGAAGGAGAUGAUGGCAUCCAAGGGGCCUGGGGCCCACUCUGUGUCUGUGUCCAGACGACAGCAAGAGAGCUGGGCUGGAGAAGUGGUUGGGGACAUAGCAGAGAGAUGGUGACAGAAGCCUUAAGAGGAGAUAUCACCACUCAGGCAGAGUGCGUCGGGGAGACCACAGGGAGGCCUAAAGUACUGAUUAAGGAAAACUGUCUGUGGUUGUCCAAGGCAAGGACACAGAGACUAACUAACCAGGGCAUCACAGCAGUUUCCAUCUUUGAAGAAAAUGUACAGGAGCUGAAAACCAGUGUCCUCGCUGCUUCUGUAGGAGUCUGCCCUGCCCCCCAUCGGCAGGCCUUCCCUGUGGGCAGAGGUCCUCACUCCAGGGUAGGACACUUGCAAGAAUCUGAUUGGCAGUCAGGGCCUCCAUCCUAUCACCAUGAAUUUCUUCAACCUGAGAGCAGAGUGAAUUUUUUUUUAUUUAUUUUUCAAUUUUUUUUUAUUAACGUAUAGUUGAUUUACUAUGUGGAGUCAAUUUCUGCUGUACAGUGACCCAGGCAUACAUAUACAUACACUAUUUUUCUCAUAUUAUUUUCCACUAUGUUCUAUACUAAGAGAUUGGAUAUAGUUCUCUGUGCUGUACAGUAGGUAGAAUAAAUUUUUAAAUGUGUUAUAUCUGGUUCAGGCCUGGCUGAUUGGGAGGAAUGGGAAAUUUUAGACAAUAUGGGGAAUGUGGUUGAUUGUCUAUGAUGCAGUGGGCACUUUCUGUGUGCCUACCCACUGCCUGAAGCACUAUUCAGGCUUUGUGUCUCUGAAUUUGAACUUGAGCCUUUUGCCCCCAAACCCGGUGCUUUAACUUCAUAUUGCAUUCCAGCUCACAAAAAUGGCCAGGAAAGGCAAACUCCAGAAUAAUGAGACAUGUUGUCUUCUUUUAAAAGCUAGAGGGAAUUAAGUUUGUGUUUUGGACAAAAGAAAAUGAAUUUGAGAUAUUGCACUAUGGCUCAUAAACUUACAUUUAUCUCUUUGUAUGAGACGAACCCAAAGCCGGCACUCAAGUUUUAUCACUGGAAUUGAAGGUAUUGGAUAUGAAUUGAACUGAGUGGAACUGAAUUGAGGCUAAUCAGGUCAAAUGUAAAAUGACAAAGAUAGAUAAUAAAGACAGAAAAUGCAUUGGGUUUGCAGACAGUUGUACUGUGAGUGGUGACUGAUCAGAGUAAAUUCUUGAAGAAAGGAGAAAAGAUAGGAGUAUCUCCUGAAAAUGCCCUAGCUGAGUUCCAGAAGUGUUUUUCAAAAAAAAAAAAAAAAAGAGGACUAUUAUCCACAGUAAAAAAAAAAAAAAUGCAUUUUAUAAACUUCAGUACACAUACUCAUGUUUCUGUGCAUAAUGAAAAAUACCAUACAUAUAUGGGAAGUGUCAUGAAAUAGUAUUGAGCCUACUACCCAGGAUGCACUCCAUUUUUCCAUUCUACUUUAUUCUAGUCUAAUCCAUUCCAUUUUUCAUUUUAAUCAUUUUAGUUUCAAACCAUCUAAACUAAUUUUAUUUCCCUUGAAGAGACUGAACUUGCCCUGUGGGAAACCUGGUUCUGCUGGAAAGGAUUCUAGGUAGAAAUGGAGGUGAAUCUCAGUUCUUGAUUCACUCUCUCUGUGACCUCAUGAUAUUUUAGAGUCUCAGCUGCCUCAUCUGUAAAAUGGGUGUGUGUGUGGGGGGGGUGAUAACUCCUCUGUCAAGAUCUUUGGGAGGAAGAGAUGACGUUGCACCUGCAAAGCUCCCAGCAUAAUGUCCAGCACGGAGCAAGUGGCCCUUGACAUCAGCAGGCUUUUGACCCAUUAUAACAAUUUCCGGUUCUUUUCAGAGCAAGAGAAAUGAAAGGCAGAGGAGGUGCUUCCACUGCUCAUGCCUCUCCACCCGGGAUCCUCUUGGUCCACAGGUGGGUCAAGCCAGCCGAAGCAUGGCAUUUGCAGCACAGGAGCCUUUUCCCAGCCAGGUCAUGGCUGGAGGGUCCCAACCCCCUAGGAGUUCCUCAAGCCACCCUCUGCUCUGGGAUCAUUUCUGAGACAAGCAGUGUCUCAGGUAAUUCACCACCAGGGCCUGUCUGACUCAAGCCAGAGAGCAGGUAACAAGAAGCGAGGGCUUGACAUGGGCCCCUGACACCCUGCACUGAAUUAUUCAGGAUUAAAAAGUUCUGACCUGCCAGGGAGCAGAAAGAUAAGCCAUUUGCAUAAGUUGGAAAACAGUGAGAUAGAAAGUUGAACAUAAAAAUGAGCAGCAUAAUAAAAAUCAUUAGGAAAAAAAACUGUAAACCAACUAUAAUGGAAAAAAUAAAAAUCACUUAAAAAAUAAAUAAGCAGCAUGGGGAGUUGCUGUUUUGGCGCAGUGGAGAUGGAUCCGACUAGUAUCCAUGAGGAUACAGGUUCAAUCCCUGGCCUUGCUCAGUGGCUUGGGGAUCCAGUGUCACAAUAAGUUGCAGUGUAGGUCGCAGAUGCAGCUCGGAUUCCGUGUUGCUGUGGCUGAGGUGUAGGCCAGUAGCUACAGCUCUGAUUUGACCCCAAGCCUGGGAACAUCCAUAUGCAACAGGUGCAGCCCUAAAAAAAAAAA